CCUACGGGAGGCAGCAGUGAGGAAUAUUGGACAAUGGGCGCAAGCCUGAUCCAGCCAUGCCGCGUGCAGGAAGAAGCAUCUAUGGUGUGUAAACUGCUUUUGUACAGGGAGAAACACUCCCUCGUGAGGGAGCUUGACGGUACUGUAAGAAUAAGGACCGGCUAACUCCGUGCCAGCAGCCGCGGUAAUACGGAGGGUCCGAGCGUUAUCCGGAAUCAUUGGGUUUAAAGGGUCCGUAGGCGGUUUAAUAAGUCAGUGGUGAAAUCUGGUCGCUCAACGAUCAAACGGCCAUUGAUACUGUUAGACUUGAAUUAUAAGGAAGUAACUAGAAUAUGUAGUGUAGCGGUGAAAUGCUUAGAUAUUACAUGGAAUACCAAUUGCGAAGGCAGGUUACUACUUAUGGAUUGACGCUGGUGGACGAAAGCGUGGGGAGCGAACAGGAUUAGAUACCCUGGUAGUCCACGACGUAACGAUAGAUACUAGCUGUCGGUAGACGAUACUG
This 502-nucleotide ribosomal RNA is filed under the name uncultured bacterium. RNAcentral describes it as "bacterial SSU rRNA". It matches the Rfam family "Bacterial small subunit ribosomal RNA", at positions 338 to 839 of the family's 1533-position model. The record is from RNAcentral.